This 460-nucleotide ribosomal RNA is filed under the name uncultured bacterium. RNAcentral's name for it is "partial 16S ribosomal RNA". It matches the Rfam family "Bacterial small subunit ribosomal RNA", at positions 338 to 795 of the family's 1533-position model. The record is from RNAcentral.
CCUACGGGAGGCAGCAGUGAGGAAUAUUGGUCAAUGGGCUUACGCCUGAACCAGCCAAGUCGCGUGAGGGAAGACUGCCCUAUGGGUUGUAAACCUCUUUUGUCAGGGAGCAAUUGGCGCUACGUGUAGCGUUAUCGAGAGUCCCUGAAGAAAAAGCAUGGGCUAACCCCGUGCCAGCAGCCGCGGUAAUACGGAGGAUGCGUGCGUUAUCCGGUUUUUUUGGGUUAAAGGGGUGCGUAGGCGGAAUGCAAAGUCAGCGGUAAAAUCGCGGGGCUAAACUUCGCUCCGCAGUUGAGACUGGCAGUCUUGAGUGGGCUAGAGGUAUGCGGAAUGCGUGGUGUAGCGGUGAAAUGCAUAGAUAUCACGCAGAACUCCGAUUGCGAAGGCAGCAUACCGGCGCCCAACUGACGCUGAAGCACGAAAGCGUGGGUAUCGAACAGGAUUAGAUACCCCUGUAGUC